This 1110-nucleotide ribosomal RNA is filed under the name uncultured cyanobacterium. RNAcentral's name for it is "bacterial SSU rRNA". It matches the Rfam family "Bacterial small subunit ribosomal RNA", at positions 389 to 1514 of the family's 1533-position model. Lineage: Bacteria; Bacillati; Cyanobacteriota. The record is from RNAcentral.
GAGCAACGCCGCGUGAGGGAUGAAGGCCUCUGGGCUGUAAACCUCUUUUCUCAAGGAAGAAGACAUGACGGUACUUGAGGAAUAAGCCACGGCUAAUUCCGUGCCAGCAGCCGCGGUAAUACGGGAGUGGCAAGCGUUAUCCGGAAUUAUUGGGCGUAAAGCGUCCGCAGGCGGCCUUGUAAGUCUGUCGUUAAAGCGUGGAGCUCAACUCCAUUUCAGCGAUGGAAACUACAAGGCUUGAGUGUGGUAGGGGCAGAGGGAAUUCCCGGUGUAGCGGUGAAAUGCGUAGAUAUCGGGAAGAACACCAGUGGCGAAGGCGCUCUGCUGGGCCAUAACUGACGCUCAUGGACGAAAGCCAGGGGAGCGAAAGGGAUUAGAUACCCCUGUAGUCCUGGCCGUAAACGAUGAACACUAGGUGUCGGGGGAAUCGACCCCCUCGGUGUCGUAGCCAACGCGUUAAGUGUUCCGCCUGGGGAGUACGCACGCAAGUGUGAAACUCAAAGGAAUUGACGGGGGCCCGCACAAGCGGUGGAGUAUGUGGUUUAAUUCGAUGCAACGCGAAGAACCUUACCAGGGUUUGACAUCCUGCGAAUCCCUUGGAAACGAGGGAGUGCCUUCGGGAGCGCAGAGACAGGUGGUGCAUGGCUGUCGUCAGCUCGUGUCGUGAGAUGUUGGGUUAAGUCCCGCAACGAGCGCAACCCACGUCUUUAGUUGCCAGCAUUCAGUUGGGCACUCUAGAGAGACCGCCGGUGAUAAACCGGAGGAAGGUGUGGAUGACGUCAAGUCAUCAUGCCCCUUACAUCCUGGGCUACACACGUACUACAAUGCUACGGACAAAGGGCAGCAAGCUCGCGAGAGUAAGCAAAUCCCAUAAACCGUGGCUCAGUUCAGAUCGUAGGCUGCAACUCGCCUACGUGAAGGAGGAAUCGCUAGUAAUCGCAGGUCAGCAUACUGCGGUGAAUACGUUCCCGGGCCUUGUACACACCGCCCGUCACACCAUGGAAGUUGGCCAUGCCCGAAGUCGUUACUCCAACCCUUGUGGAGGAGGACGCCGAAGGUGGGGCUGAUGACUGGGGUGAAGUCGUAACAAGGUAGCCGUACCGGAAGGUG